Panonychus citri (citrus red mite) is the source of this 4741-nucleotide long non-coding RNA. RefSeq lists it as uncharacterized. NCBI's taxonomy places the organism in Eukaryota, Metazoa, Arthropoda, Arachnida, Trombidiformes, Tetranychidae. The record is from RefSeq and is a predicted model, not a curated record. The transcript has 5 exons.
UUAUCUUCCGUUCAUUUCGUCUUCAUCUCUCAACUUCGACUCUCUCUCUCUCAUCAGAUUAUCUUGACAUCUCAUCGUUAGCAAAGAUAUGAAGAUAAUCAUGAAGAGUAAAAUGAAGAUGAAGAAUAUGAAUCAUUGUUUUCUAUUGAUUUCUUUUUAUCUUUCUCUCUUUUUUCUCUCUCAUCAUUUGUAAAACUCUUUCUCUUACCUCACAUGGUUUCCAACUCGUUCUUCACCAUCAUCUCUAUCGUUCUAUCACCUUUGAUCCGCCAUUUUCUCAUAGUCCAAACAAAAUUAAUUUCUAAAUUUACUAAUAACCAAAUUAUCUUGAUCUUGAAUUAACACUUUCAGUUCAUUUUCUUACCAAAAGCUUUAAUAAUUACUUUGUUUACCUUUUUGUCAAAUUCAAUUUUCUCUUUCUCUCUCUCUCCAUACAAAUUACCUUGUGAUGAAAUGAUUAAAUGUCCUUACAAUUAUUUUGAUGGUUGUUCGUUGUUAUUGAUAUCACAAGAAAAUUAAUAGAGUGUGAGCCUUAAAGAGAGAGAGAGAGAGAGAAAAGAGAAUAGAAUAAAAAUUAAAUUCUAUUCUAUCUUUUCCUUCCCCUUCCUUUCUCUCUCUCUCAACCAACAGUUACCUUUAUUAGAAUGAUUAAGUGAUUAUAAUUGAUACUUUUUACGUGUUCUGAUUAUAUCUUAAAACUUCAACAGGUAAAAAAAGGUAACCUGCUAUCAGGGUAAGUAAAGAAAGAGCGAGAAUUAUGAGUCAUCGUUGUUGUUGUUAGUUAAUUGACUUGGAAAGCCCGCUCUCUCUUUCUCUCUCUCCAAACGUGUUUAACAUUCACCCAAUAAGAGAGUUACUCUUUGUGACGUCAGUAAAUAUCCAAUGAAACAUAAAUAAAAAAAAAGUAUAAUAAUAAUAAACAAUUUCCUCCUCUUUUUCUUUCAGGUAUUCGUCAUUCACCUCAUCAUCUCAAUCAUCAGCCAGUGAAGAAGAAAAAAGAAAUCAUCAUCAUCAUCUCUCUCUCUCUCUCUCUCUCUCUCUCUCUCUCUCUCUCUCUCUCAAUGAAGGAAACGUUGGAAUCUAAAAAAUGUUACUGACCAAAGGCGAUGUUCAUCAUCAUCAUCAUACCUUAUCCAUCUUCUUUCCGGUUUUCGUUUCUCUCUCCAUCUUGAUGAUGCUUAAGAGGAGGUGGUGGUGGUGACGAGGGGAAGUGUUAGUUAUGAGUGUUGGAUAAUAUUUAUUGGGAAUUUCCCGAACCCGGGCUACCAAACUUUUCUGUUUUAUAUUUUAUUCUAUUUUCUUAUUUCAUCAUUUUAAUCAUCUUUUCUUUUUUUUCUUCUUCUUCUUCGUCUUCACCUUAGGCGGACUUUGUCUCUAUCACUUUUAUCCUCUUCUCACCGAAAAAAACCAGAAUUUUAUCUUCCACCCCUUCCAACCGGUCCAAACUCAUCUAGACAGGACAAACAAAUGAGAUUUAUUUAUAUUAAUUAUCAUCUUAUUUACAUUGUGAUGUAAUUAAUUUUUAAGGAAAUUAAUUUCACUACAAUCGUUAUAAAUAUUUACCUUUUUUUUUACAUAAUAUCUCUUGUUGAUAAAACUAAUCUACACUUUCUCUAAUAAUAAUAGUUAAUCAUCUUAAUGAACAUUUCAAUUCUGAUGAGUAAAUCAUAACAAAAAAACGAGGGAAAUCAAAACAACAAGAAUAACUCAUCUUUCUCAUAAAUUUAUCAAUGAAAAAAAAAACCAGAUUACUAUUGAUAUCAUAACUGUUAUGAUGAAGGGAUAAUUAUCAUGUGUAUGUAAUAGUGUAUCAUCAUCAUCAUCAUGAUAAUCAAUCAAAAAUCAAAACAAAACAUUGAAAGAAACUAAUGAAAGGAAUCAACGAGUCUGCAUGAUGAUAAACUGAAUUGGAGAUGAUAAAGUUUAUCUUUUUUCAAAUAUCGUUUUGCAUUUCACUUUAUCAAGCCAACAUUUCCACCAGAACCAGAAACAACAUGUUAUACAACACACUACUCUCUCUCUCUCUCUCUCUCUCUCUCUCUCUCUCGCUCAUGAAGCUAUUGGAAACCAGAAAGAGAAAAAGAAAGAAAAGAAAAAGAAAGAGUUACAAUAACCAUCAUGAUGAAACGAAUGAACCUUCAGGUUUCAUGUUCUGUGUUUUCUGUUAUACAACAUUCAACUCCCACCAAAAUUUUCCUUGACCUUGAAUUUCAAAUUCUUUUUCUCUUUCCUCCUCUCUAACCCUUUUAACCCAAAAACAAAAAAAAAUUGAUAAUCAGCCCAAAGGAGAACAACAAGAAUAAUAUUGUUAAUAACAGAACGAAUUGGAGAAAGAUAAUUAAUUCCUCUCAACGCAUCAUCAAAAUCUAGAAGACAAAAUGAAUCAAAAUGAGAGAGAAGAAGGAAGAAGAAGAUCAUUAUCAUUAUCAUCCUAAUGACAAUGAUGAAAAAGAUCAUGAAGGAGAGUAGAAAAAAUCGUUAAAACCAAAUCGACAAAAGAAAACAAUCAAAUGAAUGAUUCCAGUGAAUUGACGAUCAAUAAUUAUAAACAUCUUUCUCCAAUCAACUAACAUAAACAAUAGAACGAAAUAAAUUAAUAUUCCAAAUUAUGAUUUAUGUAUCUACAUGUUCUCAGAAAACAUGUAAACAUAAUCGAAGAAAGAAAAAUACAUAAAUCGUAAUAAGAAACAAAUUAACAAUCCAACAAUCAAUUAAUUGUUUUCUUUUCACUUUCUACUUUUUUUAUGGAAAAACCAUAAUUUCCCUUUCCUCCUCCUUUUCCUUCACCUUCCACCUUCUUGACCUUAAAGAUUUACCUGUUGUGUACUCUACCUGUUAAAAUUGAAUUUAACCUUAAUCAACAACAAUUAGCUCCAUGAGAAAGUGAGGGAGAAAGAGAGUAAGAGUAAGAGUGAGAGAGGAGAUAUCAGAUAGACGGAAUUUACUAUUGGCGUCAACGGAAAAGCUUCAGAAAUGAAUCAACGUAAUCAAAGUAAAUCGCGAAUCAACCUCACCCAACAAUUAAGGUGUAUUUGGAUUAAUUUGAUUGUUCCUUGAUUGCUGUUAAUGGAUCGAUGUUAAUUUCCUACUAGCCAACAACACGCAAUGAUCAAUAUUAAUGUUCAUCACCAAAGGAGAUUGAUGAUUGUUGAGCUUGAAUGAACUUUUCUGCCAUUAACUCAAGUCCAUUUCAAUGGGUGAAUGAUAAUAUUCAUUAACAAUUAUGAAAGUAAUCAUGAUGAUGAGCAUGAUAAUCACACGAUAACCUUGAAUAUGAAAAUUGAAGGUAAUUAAUUAUUAUCAUUCUCGUGAAAAUAUAUCACAAUUUUUUCAUUCAAAUGGAUUAACAUUAUUAUCAUUUUCAAUUGAUAACAAUAAUUUCUUAUUUCCUCUUCCUCUUAGGCUCUGGAUCAUCAAAAAUGAUAAAAUGGAGUUUCUUCAAUUUGAAUUCCCAAUCAGCUUCAUAUUUUCUUGAUUUUAUCAAUGAUCUUAAUGAAAGUUGGCAAACAAAUUUCAAAAUUGGAUUGAUUCUUGAAGCUAUAACACUUUUCAGUCCCAAUAUGAAAUAUCAAGAAAACUUUAGUGGCAAAGAAAAGCUUAUGAUGCAAGAAAGAUUUAAAGAUUACUCAUGAUUAAUGGAAAACAAAGUUGUACAUUGACAAUUUAGUGUAAAUGAUUAGUUAAUUGUUGGAUUAAAUCCAAAUUGUUACCAAAGGAACCAAAUGAGACCGAAACACAAUCAAAACAUCAACUCAUUGCAUCUUAACCAAGUAAAUCUUUUGACAAUCAACCAUAGACAUUACCCUUGAACUGAUCAUCAAAUUAUAUUACCUGAUCAUCAUCAUAAUCAUUAAAUAUUAAUUCAGUUAAAUUGUUCUGCUUUUGAAUAAUUACAAUUGAUUGUUGAAUGAGAAUGCAAAAGAUUAUUACUUUUUCUUAUUGAAACAAUAUCAAAAAUGGACAAUACAUUAACUAACUAAUCUAAUCAUUAUAUCUGCAUGGUUAAUUUUUGAUAAUUGUUUAAGAUGGAAUAUGAUUAACCCCUUAAUUGUUGACUAAUUGUAGUAAUUAAAAGGAUAAGAUGAGAAAACAAAAUUUCCGAUUCCCAACUAAACUUGUUUCCAAUUCUAUUGGUACAUUGACCUUACAUAAAUUGUUUCUCUGGUUCAUUGAUUAUUUAAUUAAUAAUUAUUUAAUUGUCUUCAAUCAAAUUGACAAUUGAUUUUAACAAUUAGAGUAAACAAAUAAUUAACUUGGAAAUUGUCAUCAAUCAGACUAAGAAGUAUCAAUUUUUAAUUCUCACUUUUUCUCUUCAUCUGAUUAACUUAAUUGGUUAUUUUUCUCUGUUAAUCAUUAGUUAAUUGUCGAUUUAAUUGAUCUGAUUUUGUCCAUAGAAUGAACUGAACAUAAUUAGGUUAAAUUGUUUUGAUUAAUCUCUUAAUUGUUACCUUAAUUCACUUUUGUUCUUAAGGUGAACUUGUUGUUUACUUGUCAACAUUUUUCCCUCUUUGGGCCUCAUUAGAAUUUAGAAUUUUUUUUCUUCUCUUUCUUUUCUUACUGAAACACUCUAAUUCUAUCAAUUUUGAUUAUCUUGAUCAUGUUCAUUGUUAAUUGUAUUUAAUUAAUAGACUAAUCACCCAAUAAUCGAUGGUCUUUUACGGAAGUAUAUCAAUUGAUUGUCAACAACAUUUUCGGUGUCAUGUCACUUUUGUCGCGAAUUUUUUUCCACUGGAAUAUCAAU